CCUACGGGUGGCAGCAGUGAGGAAUAUUGGUCAAUGGGCGAGAGCCUGAACCAGCCAAGUCGCGUGAGGGAGUACUGCCCUAUGGGUUGUAAACCUCUUUUGUCGGGGCGCAAAAGCCGGACGUGUCCGGCUGUGAGAGUACCCGAAGAAAAAGCAUCGGCUAACUCCGUGCCAGCAGCCGCGGUAAUACGGAGGAUGCGAGCGUUAUCCGGAUUUAUUGGGUUUAAAGGGUGCGCAGGCGGAUUUUUAAGUCAGCGGUAAAAUCGUGGGGCUCAACCCCAUCCAGCCGUUGAAACUGGGGAUCUAGAGUGUGCGAGAGGUAUGCGGAAUGCGUGGUGUAGCGGUGAAAUGCAUAGAUAUCACGCAGAACCCCGAUUGCGAAGGCAGCAUACCGGUGCACAACUGACGCUCAGGCACGAAAGCGUGGGUAUCGAACAGGAUUAGAUACCCUAGUAGUC
RNAcentral lists this ribosomal RNA (458 nucleotides) under uncultured bacterium. RNAcentral describes it as "partial 16S ribosomal RNA". It matches the Rfam family "Bacterial small subunit ribosomal RNA", at positions 338 to 795 of the family's 1533-position model. The record is from RNAcentral.